UGGUCACGCUGUAAACGAUGUCGAUUUGGAGUUUGGGGGCAUGACCCUUGGGCUCCGGAGCUAACGCGUUAAAUCGACCGCUGGGGAGUACGGCCGCAAGGUUAAAACUCAAAUGAAUUGACGGGGGCCCGCACAAGCGGUGGAGCAUGUGGUUUAAUUCGAUGCAACGCGAAGAACCUUACCUGGUCUUGACAUCCAUAGAAUCUUUCAGAGAUGAGAGAGUGCCUUCGGGAGCUAUGAGACAGGUGCUGCAUGGCUGUCGUCAGCUCGUGUUGUGAAAUGUUGGGUUAAGUCCCGCAACGAGCGCAACCCCUAUCCUUUGUUGCCAGCACGUAAUGGUGGGAACUCAAAGGAGACUGCCGUUGAUAAAGCGGAGGAAGGUGGGGACGACGUCAAGUCAUCAUGGCCCUUACGACCAGGGCUACACACGUGCUACAAUGGCGUAUACAAAGGGAUGCGAAGGUGCGAACUGGAGCGGACCUCACAAAGUACGUCUAAGUCCGGAUUGGAGUCUGCAACUCGACUCCAUGAAGUCGGAAUCGCUAGUAAUCGUGAAUCAGAAUGUCACGGUGAAUACGUUCCCGGGCCUUGUACACACCGCCCGUCACACCAUGGGAGUGGGUUGCACCAGAAGUAGAUAGCUUAACCUUCGGGAGGGCGUUUACCACGGUGUGGUUCAUGACUGGGGUGAAGUCGUAACAAGGUAACCA
This 710-nucleotide ribosomal RNA is filed under the name uncultured Enterobacteriaceae bacterium. RNAcentral describes it as "bacterial SSU rRNA". It matches the Rfam family "Bacterial small subunit ribosomal RNA", at positions 792 to 1502 of the family's 1533-position model. The record is from RNAcentral. Lineage: Bacteria; Pseudomonadati; Pseudomonadota; Gammaproteobacteria; Enterobacterales; Enterobacteriaceae.